CAUGUGCUGGUGGGGUCCUUUGGCCUGGCCUGUGCCCUCUAACAAUUCUGGACCCCUCAAGGGAUGUCAGAAAGCCACAGGCCAGGUCAAGGGACCCCACCAGUGCAUG
This 109-nucleotide microRNA precursor is filed under the name Myotis brandtii (Brandt's bat). RNAcentral's name for it is "mir-9193 microRNA precursor family". It matches the Rfam family "mir-9193 microRNA precursor family". The record is from Rfam by way of RNAcentral. Lineage: Eukaryota; Metazoa; Chordata; Mammalia; Chiroptera; Vespertilionidae.